GAUGAACGCUGGCGGCGUGCUUAACACAUGCAAGUCGAACGGAAAGGCCCAAGCUUGCUUGGGUCCUCGAGUGGCGAACGGGUGAGUAACACGUGGGUGAUCUGCCCUGCACUUCGGGAUAAGCCUGGGAAACUGGGUCUAAUACCGGAUAGGACCACUUCUUGGAUGUUGUGGUGGAAAGUUUUUUCGGUGUGGGGUGAGCUCGCGGCCUAUCAGCUUGUUGGUGGGGUAAUGGCCUACCAAGGCGUCGGCGGGUAGGCGGGCUGGGAGGGUGUACGGGCAAAUUGGGGCUGGGGUACGGCCCAGGCUCCCACGGGGGGCAGCAGGGGGGAAUAUUGGACAAAGGGCGGGAGGCUGAUGCAGCGACGCCGGGUGGGGGAUGACGGGCUUCGGGUUUGAAACUCCGUUCGCUAGGGACGAAGCGGUGUGUGACGGUACCGGGAGAAGAAGCACCGGCUAACUACGUG
RNAcentral lists this ribosomal RNA (467 nucleotides) under uncultured bacterium. RNAcentral's name for it is "partial 16S ribosomal RNA". It matches the Rfam family "Bacterial small subunit ribosomal RNA", at positions 28 to 507 of the family's 1533-position model. The record is from RNAcentral.